Molecule: long non-coding RNA, 281 nt
Organism: Athalia rosae (coleseed sawfly)
Lineage: Eukaryota; Metazoa; Arthropoda; Insecta; Hymenoptera; Athaliidae
Exons: 3
Source: RefSeq, a predicted model, not a curated record
AUUGAAUAGUUCAUGAGGAAAUUGCGAGAAUAGGAGAGAAUUGAUGACAGUUCGCAAUGGAUAAUUGCAUUCUUGGUCUCGAAAUGGAGAACACUCAAAGGAUCAGAGGCUACAGUCUCCAGACGUUUGCGAUUGUUGGGGCUGGACAAUAGACCCAAGCAACAGUGAAGCUACGUGUCAGUUUUAUUUGGAUGUGGAUGCAACGUUGGUUGGAAAAUGCAGAAGAAUCGGUAUACAGAAUUUCCCAGGUGAUUGAUGACACUGUUUGUUGGUAGCCAAGG